UACGGGGGGAGCAAGCGUUGUUCGGAUUUACUGGGCGUAAAGGGCGCGUAGGCGGCCUGUUCAAGUCAGUUGUGAAAUCUCCGAGCUUAACUCGGAACGGGCAACUGAUACUGCUCGGCUAGAGUGCGGAAGGGGCAACUGGAAUUCUUGGUGUAGCGGUGAAAUGCGUAGAUAUCAAGAGGAACACCUGCGGCGAAGGCGGGUUGCUGGGCCGACACUGACGCUGAGGCGCGAAAGCUAGGGGAGCGAACGGG
Molecule: ribosomal RNA, 254 nt
Filed under: uncultured bacterium
Lineage: Bacteria
Description: partial 16S ribosomal RNA
Rfam family: Bacterial small subunit ribosomal RNA
Source: RNAcentral